AACGAACGCUGGCGGCGUGGAUUAGGCAUGCAAGUCGAACGUGAAAGGGGCUUCGGCCCUGAGUAAAGUGGCAAACGGGUGAGUAACGCGUGGAGAACCUGCCCGGAAGCGGGGAUAACACUUCUAACGAGGUGCUAAUACCGCAUGUGUCUGCGUGAGCGCAUGCUCGCGCAGGUAAACGUGGCCUCUGCUCGCAAGCUACGGCUUCCGGAUGGCUCUGCGUCUCAUUAGCUAGUUGGUGGGGUAACGGCUCACCAAGGCGACGAUGGGUAGCUGGUCUGAGAGGAUGGUCAGCCACACUGGGACUGAGAUACGGCCCAGACUCCUACGGGAGGCAGCAGUCGAGAGGCUUCCGCAAUGGGGAAACCCUGACGGAGCGACGCCGCGUGAGCGAUGAAGGCC
Molecule: ribosomal RNA, 402 nt
Filed under: uncultured bacterium
Lineage: Bacteria
Description: bacterial SSU rRNA
Rfam family: Bacterial small subunit ribosomal RNA
Source: RNAcentral